RNAcentral lists this long non-coding RNA (222 nucleotides) under Manihot esculenta (cassava). RNAcentral describes it as "long non-coding RNA (MESC_LNC012607)". Lineage: Eukaryota; Viridiplantae; Streptophyta; Magnoliopsida; Malpighiales; Euphorbiaceae. The record is from RNAcentral.
UUUAUGUUUGUUUUGUGAGCUUGUUUAUGGGAGUUUAAGGUGUUGUAAGCUCCUUUAUGCUUGUUAUAUGAGUUAGGCAUGAGGUAGAGAGGUUAGAUGCAUGUUGUGAGGGAUUGGAAGGUUUGGGAGGCAUGGUUAUGCUCGAAGCUGAGUUUUGGAGGAACUCAGGUUCGGCAGCCGAAGGAGGAUUCGGCCGCCGAACAUGCCCGAGUUUCGGCUCUG